RNAcentral lists this ribosomal RNA (253 nucleotides) under uncultured bacterium. Its description in RNAcentral is "partial 16S ribosomal RNA". It matches the Rfam family "Bacterial small subunit ribosomal RNA", at positions 524 to 776 of the family's 1533-position model. The record is from RNAcentral.
UACAGAGGUCUCAAGCGUUGUUCGGAUUCAUUGGGCGUAAAGGGUGCGUAGGUGGCGCCGUAAGUCAGGUGUGAAAUCUCGGGGCUCAACCCCGAAACUGCACUUGAUACUGCCUUGCUAGAGUACUGGAGAGGAGAUUGGAAUUUACGGUGUAGCAGUGAAAUGCGUAGAUAUCGUAAGGAAGACCAGUGGCGAAGGCGAAUCUCUGGACAGUUACUGACACUGAGGCACGAAGGCCAGGGGAGCAAACGGG